RNAcentral lists this long non-coding RNA (761 nucleotides) under Mytilus galloprovincialis (Mediterranean mussel). The record is from RNAcentral. Lineage: Eukaryota; Metazoa; Mollusca; Bivalvia; Mytilida; Mytilidae.
UGGGGCCUGUUAUCUAACUCCCACGUGAAUAGAUAUUUUUCGUAUCACACCGUACGGAGUGUGAUAUGAAAAAGUGAUAUCAACAUUACGUUAAUUUGAUUGGCUUAUCUCGUAAAUUUCCAAUAUUUUCAUUGGCCGUUAAUCAGGUCAUUAUUCACUGGAAAAGGUCAUGCCGGGACUACUUUUUUUCUUGACAACUGAUUGUUUACCUCCGGUUUUCGCGAUUUUCGUCUGCUUUACCGAUGGACGUUCGCAAAGCUUCAAAUACAAUACAGUUAUCUCUAUUCUAAUGCAAAACAAGUUCAUAAUUAAAUUUCAAUCACAAUUUCAGUGAAAAAUCUUCAAUAAAGAAAAUUCCGCGAAAAGAUGUUGUCUUCUUUGGUCCCUACACUACGUGACGUCAUAGGUAUGCUUCCGGUGUCAUACAUAAACACCGGGCGUUUUCUGGCUUCUGUGCCGCUUCAGAAUGUAAUAAAAUUUGAUAAAAAGAAGAUUUUAAGGCGCAACAAGUGAGUUAUUUGUUAAUUAUUGUAGAAAAACGUGUCAAUACACUUGUUACAAAUUAGAUAUCAGGCCCCAACCAUAAGAGAAAGAUCAGUACGCGUUGCAAAGAAAAACGGCCGUAGCAACACAACUCGCAACAAAUAGUCCACGCACAUACAACUUUUUGCCAUAAGAGAAAUAGGUUUAACAACUUGUGAGAAUUAUAUAUCGCAUGAUAUCAACUCUCGUUAUUUAAUUUCAAUAAUAAUAAACUCGCC